UUCCUAAAUACUAAAUACAAAUAUACACUUCCUAACAACACCACAACAUUGCAAUUGACCAGAAAAUCAAAGCAAACACAAAACGAAAUGUGAAACAGAAAUGUACUUAAGGAGGAGGGAGGGCUCGAGGCUGGUGCAAUAGGAGGAGGAGGGAGGACUGGAGCAGCAGGAGGAGGAGGGAGGACCAGAGUAGCAGCAAGAGGAGGGAGGGCCGGAGCAGCUGGAGUAGGCGAGCAGGAGGAGGAGGAGGGAGGACUGGGGCAGCAGGAGGAGGAGGAGGGAGGAUCGGAGCAACAGGAGGAGGAGGGAGGGCUGGAGCCGCUGGAGCAGGCGAGCAGCAGAGGGCGACCGGGAGAGGGAGAGGGAGAUUGGGCUUUGCUAGGAGGCGGUAGAGGCUGUGGAGCGACGGCGUCACGGCGAGGCGGGCGAAGAGGUGGAGGUGGUGUUUAGGGUUUAGUCUCGCAGACUGGGGAGGCUGUCGAGUGCAGCGCGAUAUACCCGACAACUUUACCUUACGAAAUAAAUAUUUCGUCAGCUAAAGCAAUAAAAUCUCGUCGGCUAAGACUAAUUUUGUCGGUUAAACGUUGAAAUUUGUCGGCUAAACCUUUCAAAUUUGUCGGCUAGACCUUUCAAAUUCGUCGGCUAAACCCUUGAAAUUCGUUGGCUAAACGUUGAAAUUCGUCGGCUAAAGUACCUUUUAUACAUUCGGCAAAUUGUGAUGAUCAAACUUGAGAAACGGAAAUCCAACCAUCAUGAUAAAAUACAUGUAUGGGAAAAAAUUCAACUUGAUCCGACAAGGUUAAGGGCUCGAUCCGGACGGUCAAUCCGUUAAGUCAAACCCCUAAACGCACGGAAAAGAUCAUUGGACCGUCUAAAUUACGUAUUUUGGCCAGACCUUCAACUGAAAAUAGUUUCAAACCGAUGAGCCCCAACAAGUCAUAUAAAAAUUUUACGGAAAAUAACCACCGAAGAUAGGGCUACCCAUAGAGAUAAAGAAUGAAAAAUUGCAUUGACCGCAACUAUUGGCACCGAGACUUUACUGGUAUACCUUGAUUUUUCAACCGUAGAUGUAUUUCACCAUUUUGGUCGUAUCUUAUUUCAUGACUUUUUUGCGUUUGUAGGUUCUAGGUUUAGUUUGUUUUUGAAAUGAAACAUUUACUCUUGGUAAACAAUUUAUACAACAUUACUAGGCAUGUUGUGAUUGUGAUUAUCAAACUUGAGAAACCAAAAUCCCACCGUCAUAUCUGACCAUCAUGAGAAAAUACAUGUGUGGGAAAAAAUUUAACAUCAUCCGACAAGGUUAAGGGCUCGAUCCAGACGGUCAAUCCGUUAAGUCAAACCCCUAAACGCACGGAAAAGGUCAUUGGACCGUCUAAAUUACGUAUUUUGGCCGGACCUUCAACUGAAAAUAGUUUCAAACCGAUGAUACCCAACAAGUCAUAUAAAAAUUUUACGGAAAAUAACCACCGAAGAUAGGGUUACCCAUAGGGAUAAAGAAUGGAAAAUUGCAUUGACCGCAACUAUCGGCACCGAGACUUUACCGGAAUACCUUGAUUUUUCAACCUUAGACGUAUUUCACCAUUUUGGUCAUAUCUUAUUUCAUGACUUUUUUGCGUUUGUAGGUUCUACGUUUAGUUUGUUUUUGAAACGGAACAUUUACUCUUGGUAAACAAUUUAUACAACAUUACUAGGCAUGUUGUGAUUGUGAUGCUCAAACUUGAGAAACCAAAAUCCCACCGUCAGAUCUGACCAUCAUGAUAAAAUACAUGUAUGGGAAAAAAUUCAACUUGAUCCGUCAAGGUUAAGGGCUCGAUCCGGACGGUCAAUCUCGUAAGUCAAACCCCUAAACGCAUGGAAAAGGUCAUUGGACCGUCUAAAUUACGUAUUUUGCCCGGACCUUCAACUGAAAAUAGUUUCAAACCGAUGAGACCCAUCAAGUCAUAUAAAAAUUUUAGGGUUUAGGGUUUAGCCGACGAAAUAUUAGGGUAUUCGUCGGCUAACCGCAUCUUAGCCGACGAAUUAUGAUAUAUUUCGUCGGCUAAGAUGGUUUAAGCCGACGAAUUAUGGUAUAUUUCGUCUGCUAAAGUGUAAAAAUACAUUAAAAAAACAGAAGGUUUAAACCAUACUAACUUCCUAUUCAAAUAUCACCAAAAUUCAUAUAAAAUAACAGAAAUAUGAAUUCAACAUAUAUAAACUAUAAAGGUUAUACAUUCUUUUUUAUUGCAAAUUAAUGUAAUCAGAAUUAAAACUAAGGCUCGUAAUCGGAAUCAUCCGAUGAGUCUUCUUCGGUGUCAGAAUUAAUUUCUGGUAAUCUAUGCCUUUCCUCAUCGCCAGAGUCUUCGUCUGUUUCUUGAUUUGGAUCAACACUCAAUAAGCCUUGGCUCUUCAUCACGAAUUCGCACCGAACGACCCGCUUUAAANNNNNNNNNNNNNNNNNNNNNNNNNNNNNNNNNNNNNNNNNNNNNNNNNNNNNNNNNNNNNNNNNNNNNNNNNNNNNNNNNNNNNNNNNNNNNNNNNNNNCUUUUACAUUGUCACAAAUUGAUUUAAUUUCUCUAAUACUUAGGUGACAUGUAGAAAAGUCAUGAACAGAGUAACCUACUACCUGCCGAGAGAAGUGUUCCUGAUGAACCUAGGGAAGCAAAGCAGUUGAUCCACGAAGCCUAGUCCAUGAAAAGAGAGGUCUAAACCAAGUCCAAUAUGGAGAAGAAGAUCUAAAUUCGGCAGAAUAUCAAGGAAUAUCCAAGUCUUGAAAACCCUGAUGAAUUUCGGGAAAAUUCCUGUGCACGUCUCUUAACUUCAACGGACACUCCAGGACAGCUCACAAUGAAUCAGAAAACGUGCUAGAUAUGGAUAGAGAGCUACGGGAGUCUAGUUUCCAAAUCAAUUGGAAUCACCUCAAUAUCUAUUUUCUAGAGGGAGUUAUGACGUGAUCAUCAGACGAAGGUCAAUCUGCCGAAAUUGAGAAGAACUAGGAAUCCUAAACCAACUUGGUUUAGGCUUUGUGGCCGACUUCUCUAGGGUUUUUCCUCUAUAUAAAGCACGACUUCAAGGACAGAAAAACAUCAUCGCUACCCUUGCAAUUACAUAGCCGAAACUCUACCAAACCCUAUACAGAAAAUUACUUAGCCGAUUCAUCCACCACAAACCAUAAGAAUCAUUCCAUCCUUCCACCGAUUUUCCCCACACUUGCCAAAUCUUUCAAGGUUGUAAAAGUGUGAUUUUCUCAUGGCUUCUUGUAUUAUUUUCUGUAUAGUUUCGAACUCUAUUGUAAAAUACUUUUCGAUUUUGGUUUUAUUUAUCAAACAUGGUUUUCGGAUUUCUUUGUGAUCUUUGAUUGUUCUAUGUUUUGAUUUAUAACUUCUUGAAUAUAUGAUGAUUUCGUGAUUUAGGUUUUGGGGCAGUAGCAUGUUCUUAUGUGUUUCUGAUUUCUAAUUGAUUAAUUGUCAUGAAUUCGUGCAUCUAAAUCAAUCCUUGAGGCUGCCUCGGCCAUGGUUGUCCUUAAGGUGCGGUUUCAUCUACCAUAAUAAUUUUGGAUCGAUUCAUACGCAAAGUUGUCUUGGUCUCUGUUAUUAACUUAGGGCGAUAUAAUUCGGAUAAUUUGCAUGCUAAUAGGAUGAGUGACGCCAUGCCUUAGAUCAUGUUUCCGAUUGACUCGUGUGCUAAAGUGUUUUCUUGUUUAAUCUCUACGCAACGUGUCUUUAAAUGAGUUAGCAUUCAUGUUUAGGAUCAAGCGCAAAGAUGGUUCUAAAUACUUGAGGAGUCUUAACAAUUAGAUAACCGCAAAGGCUCUAAUUAGAAUCGAAAUUGGUUAGAGUCUAGGAUAAUUUGAACGAUGCUGCCCGGCCUUGCAUGAAGUUGUUAUGUGUUCUUGAUGGUUUUUCGUGUUAUGUGUUGCAUGAGUAUGUUGAUCACUUGUAUAUAAUAAUCUUAGGUUUAAUUUUCAGUAGAUUAUUUGUUAGAAUUAAUCAAUCUAAAACCCCCAAUAUUUCGAUGUAUAUAUGUGAAUACUUGUUUAUAAGUUGUUUGGUUUAUCUUCUUUCGAUCGCCCUUUGGUUUCCCCGGCUAGAACGAUCCCUACUUGUCCAUAUUACUACGAUUGCAGGGUAAUUAAAUUGAAGUUGUUUGACCCCGGUUACGCGACACGUCACUCAGGUGUAGCCGAGGCUAUGGAGCGAGAGCCUCACCAAGGCGUCAGCCUCUUGAAAAAAAAAAAUUUACAUUUGUAACUUUUAAAAAUUAAUUUUUUAAGCUCCUAACUUUUAGAUUUAUAUUUCAUGACAAGAAGAGGAGGUUAGUUUCAUGCUUAUUUUCAUAUUCGUAACAACACCACAAAAUCAAACAAUGUAAACCCAUUCAAUUAGUCAACAAAAAAAAAAAUAUACACUUCCUAAAUACAAAUAUACACUUUCUAAAUACUAAAUACAAAUAUACACUUCCUAAAUACUAAAUACAAAUAUACACUUCCUAACAACACCACAACAUUGCAAUUGACCGGAAAAUCAAAGCAAACACAAAAUAUUAAAUACAUUUACACUUCCUAAAUAAAAAUAUACACUUCCUAACAACACUACAACAUUGCAAUUGACCGGAAAAUCAAAGCAAACACAAAAUGAAAUGUGAAACAGAAAUGUACUCAAGGAGGAGGGAGGGCUCGAGGCUGGAGCAGCAGGAGGAGGAGGGAGGAUCGGAGCAGCAGGAGGAGGAGGGAGGGUUGGAGCAGCAGGAGGAGGAGGGAGGGCCGGAGCAGCCGGAGGAGGAGGGAGGGCCGGAGCAGCUAGAGCAGGUGAGCAGGUGAGCAGCAGAGGGCGACCGGGAGAGGGAGAGGGCGGCGACCGGGAUAGGGAGAGGGAGACCGGGAGAGGGAGAGGAGGCAGACCGGGAGAGGGAGAGGGCGACCGGGAGACCGGGAGAGGAGGCGGAGGCGGACGAGAUUAUCUCGUCCGCUAAAGAUAAUAAUCUCGUCGGCUAAUAUAAUAAUCUCGUCGGCUAAGAUCAAAUUCGUCGGCUAAAAAUAAUUUCGUCGGCUAAAGAUAAUAAUCUCGUCGGCUAAGAUAAUAAUCUCGUCGGCUAAGAUCAAAUUCGUCGGCUAAACCUUAGAAAUUCGUCGGCUAAAUCUUUGAAAUUCGUCGCCUAAACCUUUGAACUUCGUCGGCUAUAGUAAUUUUUAUACAUUCGGUAAAUUGUGAUUGUGAUGAUUAAACUUGAGAAACGAAAAUCCGACCGUCAGAUCUGACCAUCAUGAUAAAAUACAUGUAUGGGAAAAAAUUCAACUUGAUCCGACAAGGAUAAGGGCUCGAUCCGGACGGUCAAUCCGUUAAGUUAAACACCUAAACGUACGGAAAAGGUCAUUGGACCGUCUAAAUUACGUAUUUUGGCCGGACCUUCAACUGAAAAUAGUUUCAAACCGUUGAGACGCAACAAGUCAUAUAAAAAUUUUACACAAGAUAACCACCGAAAAUAAAGCUACUCAUAGGGAGAAAGAAUGAAAAACUGCGGCACUGAAACUUUACCGAAAUACUGUGAUUUUUCAACCGUGGACGUAUUUUACCAUUCUGGUCAUAUCUUAUUCACGACUUUUUGCGUUUGAAGGUUUACGUAUAGUUUGUUUUUGAAACGAAACAUUUACUUAACACUUGGUAAACAAGUUAUACAACAUUAGUAGGCAUGUUAUGAUUGUGAUUAUCAAACUUGAGAAACGGAAAUCUGACCGUCAGAUCUGACCAUCAUGACAAAAUACAUGUAUGAGCAAAAAUUCAACUUGAUCCGGCAAGGUUAAGGGCUCGAUCCGGAAGGUCAAUCCCGUAAGUCAAACCCCUAAAUGCACGGAAAAGGUCGUUGGACAGUCUAAAUUUCGUAUUUUGGCCGGACCUUCAACUGAAAAUAGUUUCAAAUCAAUGAGACGCAACAAGUCGUAUAAAAUUUUACGGAAAUAAUCACCGAAGAUAGGGCUAUAGUAUGUAAUAGAAAAAUUUUAGGGUUUAGCCGAUGAAUACCCUAAUAUAUUCGUCGGCUAUAAUAUGUAAUAAAU
This 6028-nucleotide long non-coding RNA is filed under the name Fragaria vesca (wild strawberry). Its description in RNAcentral is "long non-coding RNA (FVES_LNC001394)". The record is from RNAcentral. Lineage: Eukaryota; Viridiplantae; Streptophyta; Magnoliopsida; Rosales; Rosaceae.